Molecule: long non-coding RNA, 846 nt
Organism: Scylla paramamosain (green mud crab)
Lineage: Eukaryota; Metazoa; Arthropoda; Malacostraca; Decapoda; Portunidae
Exons: 2
Source: RefSeq, a predicted model, not a curated record
UCUGUCAAUGUGACGUUUGAGGUAUGGAUUCAAGUCAGCGUAGAUGUUUGAAACCGAGCUGAGAUAAACCUUUCGUAGACCUUUCAUGCUCUCAUAUACGUCCUUUGUAUACCGUGUAAUAUUCAGCAAUUGAGUGGCAUAUCCCGGCAUACCAGAUACCGGAAAUAAAGAAAGGUAUGAGAAAGACUCGAAGCAGUGAACCUCGAGAACGAACCGAGUCCCAGAUUGGCCAGGCGGAGGUCCCACGCUGGCGUCACCACUCGAGGGACGAGGCGCCGCGCGGUCACGUGGAUAUCUGAAUUGAGCGUUAAUCACCUCAGUAAUUGAACACCAGUGUCAUUAGUUUGUGUAGUGGUCGUUAAUUGUACUUUGCAGUAGUGCAGGCAAAGGAAGCGUUAGACUCUCUAGCUUCCAUGGAGCUGACUUUGCCGUGGGUACUGAGCGCUGGCAGCAGGGAGUGUGGUGCUGGAGGCCUGUUCCCUGUCGUGAGUUACUCCGUGGCGACGCCGGACAGCAGUAGGAGCGAGACCCGUGAUGUUCCUCCAGCUUGCACAAUACAAAUGAUCGAGAUUGACAUUUUUCUAUCUGUUGAGCGGCAGACGGCGCGGACAGAAGGAAUGACAGAAACUCCUCGCCUCUUCUCUCCUGCAGCACAGCCAGGAGGACACUGGGGAAUAAAUCCUUCACCACGCAGCUUUAAUGUAAACCUUAAAAGGAUGCGUCGUAAUCUUUAUCCUGGAAUCCUAUCUUCGUCGUCUUUGUCCUCCUUGCCUCAGCCCAGACCAUCUAGUGUCUCUUGCUUCAGAUGAGGCUGUGCAGUUUGUCACAUAAAUAAGUUUACUGCUG